RNAcentral lists this transfer RNA (71 nucleotides) under Bos taurus (domestic cattle). It matches the Rfam family "tRNA". From Rfam's summary of the family: Transfer RNA (tRNA) molecules are approximately 80 nucleotides in length. Their secondary structure includes four short double-helical elements and three loops (D, anti-codon, and T loops). RNAcentral also lists the same sequence under 3 other names. Lineage: Eukaryota; Metazoa; Chordata; Mammalia; Artiodactyla; Bovidae. The record is from Rfam by way of RNAcentral.
CCCUGGUGGCUCAGAGGUUAAAGCGUCUGCCUGAAAUGUGGGAGACCUGGGUUCGAUCCCUGGGUCAGGGA